Molecule: long non-coding RNA, 381 nt
Organism: Scatophagus argus
Lineage: Eukaryota; Metazoa; Chordata; Actinopteri; Scatophagidae
Exons: 2
Source: RefSeq, a predicted model, not a curated record
GCAGAACAGGGCGUUCCUACCUGCAGUUCCUCUACCAGCGCACCUGUUGACAGUUCUCUUCAAUCAGCCCGUCCCCGGGUGCUGACCUCUAUAAGACUGGCUUUUCCUCACCUUCGCUGCCAGGCUGUCCCUGCAACUUGUGGUUCAUUUGCUUGCUCCUGCCAGUCUGCUCUGCCCUGCUCCUGCUCCGGUGUAAGCCUGUAUGCUCCUGAGACUCACCUGUUGGAAAUCCUUUGUUCACUGAAAUCACACUCACCUGUCGCCUGUCAGUGUGGAUCACCUGCCUUAAAAGUCUUUUAUUAGUCAUCUGGUCAAGACCUACCUUGUUUUGUGAAAAUACCAGUAAUUAUUUUUUCAGUAAAGACUGUUUUGUGACUUUUA